Molecule: long non-coding RNA, 214 nt
Filed under: Capsicum annuum
Lineage: Eukaryota; Viridiplantae; Streptophyta; Magnoliopsida; Solanales; Solanaceae
Description: long non-coding RNA (CANN_LNC011991)
Source: RNAcentral
UCCUCCUUCCUCGAGUAAGAAAACUUGCACUCCAAGUACUCCAUCUUGGUCUUACUCAACCUAAAACCUUUAGACUCUAGGGUUUGUCUCUAUACCUCCAACUUAUCAUUAACACCUCUCCACAUCUCAUCAAUAAAAACUACAUCAUUCGUAAAAAGCAUACACCAAGGCACCUUUCCUUGUAUACUCUACAUCAACACAUCCAUCACCAUGA